CGUAGUUCAACAUUUGUGUUGUUUUAAAUGUGCUAUAUAAAUUAAUUUGAGUUUGAGUCAUAUAAAGUGUAAUAGAAAAGUUCUUUUCCUGUAACUUGUAACUGUCACUUCUUCAUUCUGGUCUUAGCUGUAAAUAGAUGUGUGAAUUUCACACCUUUUUCUGCUGUCUCUCUGUCAGUGACCAUCUUCACUUCCUGCAUUACGCCUUAUUUAAACUGAUCAACUUAAAGAAAUUCUGUAGAAUUCCUCUCUCCAAGUAGUCUUUAUUUUCAGAUGUAGUUGUAACAUGGUGUCUAACUACAGCUGUUUAACUGCAAGUAGCUCUCUGAGAUUAAAAAAAAAAAAUGCACACAUGAUCACGACAGUGUAACACACGUAGUAGUUAGGGACUGGGCUGAGAAACAAGAGAUUAGGGGUUUGAGUCCAGCUGAUGAUGUUCCACUACUGACCCUGUGUGUUUAAGUAAAACUCUUAAUGACAAACUGGACAAUUCCUUCAACCUCAUGACUUGUUUUUUGCUCUUACCAUCAGCUGUGAGCUUUAUAUUAACAGACGUGAACCUUUCCUAAUAAACCAACACUAAAAUAUGGUGCAGUCCUGAAUAAAUUAAAUAUAAACAAACAAAUAAACAAACAAACAAUUAUCUGCUUGUUGCAUGUACCAAUUCUCAAAUUAUCCCAAAACGUAUUUUCCGUAUGAACUAAAAUCAUUCAUUCUUAUUAAUACAGUACAUGUUUUCAUUAAUGACUGUGAGCAUGCUUUACUCCAGUGUCAUGUGCCAUAUUACUAACAGUGAUAAAAACAGUCAUUAGUUUUAAUAAGUUUUGUCUUUUCAGUAGGAAGAAGAGAAACUUCAACACACUCGAGGAAAACAGACACAACACCUCCAUCAGAACCGCCUCAGAGUAAAACAACAAACUCUCCACCUGCAUCAUCCUCAACAACACUGGAACAAGAUAAACAGCAAACACACAGCAGCCUCCCUCUAGUUUUCGGCAUUCUGGCGGGUUUAUUGUUGGUGAUACCCGGAGUAGUGGCUUUUAUUUGUUGGAAACGCAAAGGAGGAAGAUGUGGAGAGAACGUGAUCACUGAAGGACGUCCGGACUGUAAGAG
Long non-coding RNA from Ictalurus furcatus (blue catfish), 1113 nucleotides. RefSeq lists it as uncharacterized. The record is from RefSeq and is a predicted model, not a curated record. NCBI's taxonomy places the organism in Eukaryota, Metazoa, Chordata, Actinopteri, Siluriformes, Ictaluridae. The transcript has 3 exons.